UCCCGGUUGGCCCUGGCAGUCUCGCAUGAAAAAUUCAACAUACGAUAAGGGUUGCGCUCGUUGCGGGACUUAACCCAACAUCUCACGACACGAGCUGACGACGGCCAUGCAGCACCUGUCACCAGGCUCCCGAAGGCACUCCACUAUUUCUAGCGGAUUCCUGGGAUGUCAAACCUCGGUAAGGUUCUCCGUGUAGCGUCGAAUUAAACCACAUGAUCCUCUGCUUGUGCGGGUCCCCGUCAAUUCCUUUGAGUUUUAAGCUUGCGCUCGUACUCCCCAGGCGGUCGACUUCACGCGUUAGCUUCGUUACUGAGAGUGUCAAACCCCCAACAACCAGUCGACAUCGUUUAGGGCGUGGACUAC
Molecule: unclassified non-coding RNA, 363 nt
Filed under: uncultured bacterium
Lineage: Bacteria
Description: contains 16S-23S intergenic spacer region
Source: RNAcentral